Molecule: ribosomal RNA, 380 nt
Filed under: uncultured bacterium
Lineage: Bacteria
Description: bacterial SSU rRNA
Rfam family: Bacterial small subunit ribosomal RNA
Source: RNAcentral
GACGAACGCUGGCGGCGUGCUUAACACAUGCAAGUCGAGCGGUAAGGCCCUUUCGGGGGUACACGAGCGGCGAACGGGUGAGUAACACGUGGGUGACCUGCCCUUAGCUCUGGGAUAAGCCUGGGAAACUGGGUCUAAUACCGGAUAUGACUCCAUGACGCAUGUUGUGGGGUGGAAAGCCUUGUGCGGCUAGGGAUGGGCCUGCGGCCUAUCAGCUUGUUGGUGGGGUGAUGGCCUACCAAGGCGACGACGGGUAGCCGGCCUGAGAGGGCGACCGGCCACACUGGGACUGAGACACGGCCCAGACUCCUACGGGAGGCAGCAGUGGGGAAUCUUGCGCAAUGGGCGAAAGCCUGACGCAGCGACGCCGCGUGGGGAUG